AAAAAGAUGGGUAAUAAACGUGAGAGAAACACUAUUAGACAUUAAAGUUGGCAUCAAUUGGCAACUGUUUCACCCUUACCCUACAACUUAUCGAGCAUGGGGUUUGUUGUAUGGUUCGUUUCCAUGACAACGUAGGCCAAUGCCUGCUUGUUUGUUAUUGGUGGCAGAUUCGAAAUCAUAUAAAUUUUGCUUUAUAUGGGAUGGAGACUUCCACGGAUCAAGUAUUUUCCAGUGCUAUUAUUGGUAGUAGUACUGCAAAGCAGAAAUCGAGAUUGUCUCAAUUUUCUGAAUAUCGAGAGGAACGAUACUUUGCAAACGUAUGGGUUCAGCUUCUUCUGUAUAUAAAUGUACACUUUUGUGUUAUCUGGAUAACAAGCAGUAUAGUUACAUUAUAUUAUCAGUACAGGAACUUAUCAACUAUUCACCGUGUUUUAUCGAUAUUGUCUUUAGUCAUUGCUGCUCCAAUAGAAUGUCUUCGAUUGUAUCUUGGGUAUUCCGGAAAUCUUCUAGACAAGAUUCCAGAUUUUGCAGGCUUUUGGAUAUUGUCAGUUUUUAUACAAACUCCAUUGCAAAUAUAUCUGAUGACCAGUGAGCAAAUUUUAAAAUACAGAACUAGUACUGUUUUGCAGGCAAUUCAAUGUAUGUUGUUGCUGCUACAGAUUAUAUCUAGUUUCACUGCAAUUCGCAGAGCUUCCCGAUUUCGACGUCAACAAUUCCAGGCCGAAAAAGCUUGCUAUGAUAUGGACAACCCUCG
Long non-coding RNA from Aedes aegypti (yellow fever mosquito), 754 nucleotides. RefSeq lists it as uncharacterized. The transcript is spliced from 4 exons. The record is from RefSeq and is a predicted model, not a curated record. Lineage: Eukaryota; Metazoa; Arthropoda; Insecta; Diptera; Culicidae.